UCAAAGUCUUUUCCAAUCAUCAUUGAACGUUCUUCCAAAAACAGUCAAUAGUUUUGUAUAAAAUGAUGGCUCCUCUCGGUUUGGACAUCUUAAAACUACAACUGAAAUACAUCGAGCAUUGAGCCCAUGGAUGUUUGUUCACAGUUUUCUAUUCCGUUUCCAUUUGGGCCUGUAUGAGGUCGAUUUCUGCAAAUCUCUGAAGGAGAAGAAAAGGGUGACCCCCUUUAGCGAUUGAGGUGGCGAGGACUUAAAAAGUUUGCGCACCGAUCUAACGGGGCUGUACAGUGACUCUAUGAAGACUUUCACCAAAUACACCCCAUUGGUAGAAAUUAACCUGGAAACCAAGGUGGUGAGGUCACCUUUCCAUAAUAUAUUGUAAUCAUCGCAACAUGUACCAAUUCGGUUAAACCAAUCAGUUCAAUGAUAUAUUGGAAAAAACAUGGCGGACAUGAAGCAUGUGGCCACACUCUUUAUAUGCAGUUACUGUGGUGUGAGGAUCUAAAGACCCCAUCUCGAGGAUACUUUGUUCAUCCCUACACCUUUUGUGUAAAUUAUGUAAAAUUUUGAAAACUGUUUCUUCUGAUAUUGAACUUUGUUUGCAAUAAUGAAACUAUAAUUCUUC
Molecule: long non-coding RNA, 622 nt
Organism: Photinus pyralis (common eastern firefly)
Lineage: Eukaryota; Metazoa; Arthropoda; Insecta; Coleoptera; Lampyridae
Exons: 2
Source: RefSeq, a predicted model, not a curated record